This 230-nucleotide long non-coding RNA is filed under the name Ictidomys tridecemlineatus (thirteen-lined ground squirrel). Its description in RNAcentral is "lncRNA (ENSSTOG00000032956.1)". The record is from RNAcentral. Lineage: Eukaryota; Metazoa; Chordata; Mammalia; Rodentia; Sciuridae.
CAGCUUCCCGGGUAGCUGGGAUUAUAGGUGUGCACCGCCAGCCUGAUGACAAUGAUUCUUGAAGAGAGAUCUAGGAGGAGAUUGUGCCUGCAAAAGGUGCAGCCUGGGACUUGGAAAUCAAAGACUUGGAUCUGAUUCCCAUUCUGGCCUCCCACUAAUGCCUGGCCUCUGAGCCCCCGACUCAACUCACUCUGAAAUUGUUCCCUGUGAAAUGAAGAUAAUCUACCUUG